UCCAAUUCAACUACAACUGCGUAGACUCCUAAAGAAAAGAGAAGUUCCUGCAUAUGUUUAGUAUUUUUUCUUCUUUUUCUAUCAAUUGCUUUCUAUUACCCAUCUAAAACAGCUCAUCUCCCUUGUAUGAUAUUGACCUCGCACCAACACUCUGUUAGUCUCUAUGCAAAAGUUGAUCAACACAAAAGUAAUUCCACAAGCUUUUGUUGUGAAAUCUGUCCUUUGCUAUGAAUUGAAGGCCUUGAUUCAUGGCUUAACGAAGGAAUUCUUGACAUUCUUUUGAUGAAGAGGUAAGUUUCUCUUGAUGUAGUGUAGGAUUUUUUAGAAAAUUUAAUUACUAUCUAUUUCUUAUUUUAUUAUUUGAUUCACUAAUUAGUGUUAGUUUUGUGAUUUAAGUUUGAAGAUAUAUUUUAUUUAAAUCACGAAAUUAGAAAGUAUGUAAUACUAAUUUUUUUCCUUUUCACAGGUAUACGAAGGUGCAAAAAGUGUGAGUUUUAACCAAGGGACGCUGCACACAUGAGGAAGCAACAUACCUAUUUUUUUUUUUUUUUUAGCAUUAACAUGUAUUUUAAUUAGAUCUUUUGUGUUUGAGGGCUUUUAGUUUGUAGUUUGUACUCAGAUGUUAUCUUAGAACAAUUAUAGAUGUAUAGUACAUAUUUUUUGUAUGAAUUUUGGUAUUAUAUUUCUCUUUUAUUUCUGUGAUGUUUUUGGUUUACAUAAGAG
Molecule: long non-coding RNA, 723 nt
Filed under: Nicotiana tabacum (common tobacco)
Lineage: Eukaryota; Viridiplantae; Streptophyta; Magnoliopsida; Solanales; Solanaceae
Description: long non-coding RNA (NTAB_LNC012497)
Source: RNAcentral